AGCAACCCCAGGUCAUGCAGGAUUACCCGCUGAGUUUAAGCAUAUCAAUAAGUGGAGGAAAAGAAACUUACAAGGAUUCCCUUAGUAACGGCGAGCGAACUGGGAAAUCCCCAUGUUGAGAAUCGGGUGCCUACGGCAUCCAAAUUGUAGUAUGGCGAAGCGUCCUCAGCGGCAAACUGAGCUCAAGUCCCCUGGAAGGGGGUGCCGGAGAGGGUGAGAGCUCUGUCACGCUCGGACCUGAGUCGGGUUGUUUGGGAAUGCAGCCCAAAUCGGGCGGUAAAUUCCGUCUAAGGCUAAAUAUUGGCGAGAGACCGAUAGAAAACAAGUACAGCGAGGGAAAGAUGAAAAGGACUUUGAGAAAAGAGUCAAAGAGUACUUGAAAUUGUCGGGAGGGAAGCAGAUGGGGGCUGGCGGUGUGUCCAGGUUGGAUGUUGAACGGCGAUGAGAAGGUCUGCCAAUCGACUCAGGGCAUGGACCGAUCCAGAUUGGGCCGGCGUCGCAAGCCCGAGCCUUUGUUGUGCUCGCAGAGAUGUCAUCGCCCCGAUCGUGGCUCGCAGAGAUUGGCGUGCUCAGGCACCAGCGCGCUCCAGGCAUCAGCCUGUGGGCUCCCCAUUUGGCCCGUCUGGCGGGAUCCCCUUGAGGGUUGCACCGCCGACCGACUUUGAUCUUCUGAGAAGGGUUCGAGUGUGAGCAUGGCUGUCGGGACCCAAAAGAUGGUGAACUAUGCUUGAGCUGGGCGAAGCCAGAGGAAACUCUGGUGGAGGCCAGCUGCAAUACUGACGUGCAAAUCAUUCAUCUGACUUGGGUAUAGGGAUGGAAGAUAAUCGAACCGUCUAGUAGCUGGUUCCCUCCAAAGUUUCCCUCAGGAUAGCUGGAGCCCAUGAGCGAGUUCUAUCAGGUAAAGCCAAUGAUUAGAGGCAUCCGGGGCGCAACGCCCUCGACCUAUUCUCAAACUUUCAAUAGGGCCAUUUUUGGUAAGCAGAACUGGCAAUCCUGGAUGAACUGAAAGCCGGGUUACGAUGCCCAACUGCUCCCUAACCUAGAAACCACAAAGGGUGUUGGUCGAUUAAGACAGCAGGACGGUGGUCAUGGAAGUCAAAAUCCGCUAAGGAGUGUGUAACAACUCACCUGCCGAAUCAACUAGCCCUAAAAUCGGAUGGCGCUGAAGCGCGCGGCCUAUACCUGGCAGCCGGGGCAAGUACCAAGCCCUAAUGAGUAGGAGGUCACAGCGGUCGCUGCAAAAACUAUGGCGCCAGCCGGGGCAAAGCGGUCGUCGGUGCACCUCGAGAAGAGUUAUCUUUUCUGUUUAACAGCCUGCCCACCCUGGAAAUGGCUCAGCCGGAGGUAGGGUCCAGUGGCUCCAAGAGCACUGCACCUCGCGAGGUGUCUGGUACGUCCUCGACGGCCCUUGAAAAUUUUGACGACCGAGUGCCUCCCACGCCUGGUCGUACUCAUAACCGCAUCAGGUCUCCAAGGUGAACAGCCUCGGGUCGAUGGAACAAUGUAGGCAAGGGAAGUCGGCAAAAGAGAUCCGUAACAUCGGGAAGGUUGGCUGUCAAUGGACUGCUCGAGCUGCUCUCUUAAGGUAGCCAAAUGCUUCGUCAUCUAAUUAGUGACGCGCAUGAAUAGAUUAACGAGAUUCCCACUGUCCUUGUCUACUAUCCAGUCAAACCACAGCCAAGGUAAUGGACUUGGCAGAAUCAGCGGGGAGAGAAGACCCUGUUGAGCUUGACUCUGGUCCGACUCUGUGAAAUAACUUGAGAGGUGUAGGAUAAGUGGGAGCCGAAAACGGCGAAAGUGAAAUACAACUACUUUUACUGUUAUUUUACUUAUUCUGUGAAUCGGAAGCGGGGCAACGCCCCUCUUUUGAGACCCAAGGCCCGCCUUGGUGGGUCACUCCGGGCGGAAGACAUUGUCAGGUGGGGAGUUUGGCUGCGGCGUUGCGCUCUCUCUGAUCCCCCUAUCUUGCGUCAAAGGAAAAGGAAUGACAAACGUGCCAAAGUGCCUUCAGUUCCAGCUGCCGCAGUUUUGAAGCCUAUGAAAGGCACUAUCCCCGAGAAUCCAUUCAAAGUCCCUGAGAAGAGUGGGAAAGUCGUGGCACCAUCCUCUAAAGAUGCCUUGUUGCCUUCUCACGGCAAGGCUUGGAGCAAAAAGGAAAAAUUUGGGCAGCCCAAAGCGGUUUUGGUGGGUUCUGUGUCUAGUCGCCCGAGCAAGGAGGUUUUUGUCCUGGAGGAUAAAUCCUCAGACUCAGAUGUCUCUUCUGAUACUGACUCGCAGGACUCUCUGUUGGAGCGGGGCUC
This 2300-nucleotide ribosomal RNA is filed under the name Begonia fuchsioides. Its description in RNAcentral is "eukaryotic LSU rRNA". It matches the Rfam family "Eukaryotic large subunit ribosomal RNA", at positions 1 to 2636 of the family's 3401-position model. Lineage: Eukaryota; Viridiplantae; Streptophyta; Magnoliopsida; Cucurbitales; Begoniaceae. The record is from RNAcentral.